AGAGUCUGCUCAGCAGGAGGCACCUUGUGGCUCUGGACACCACGGAAGACAAGUCCUGUUGAGAAACCUCAGCUCUUCCCAGAAACCUGUAGUUCCCAUCAGGGUUGCUCUAUAUAUUAAAUGGCUUAUAAACAACAGAGACUCACCUGACACUUCUCGAGGCUUCAAGCCCAAAAGCAAGGUCUUGGAGACCCAGUGGCUGGUUCAUGCCUCUUCAUCUUGCAGCAGCCUCAUAUGGUGGGAGAGAAGCUUGGAAGAUGAUGUUGAGAACAGUGGAACAAUGAAGACCUGGCUUGUGACAUUUCAGAGC
Rattus rattus (black rat) is the source of this 310-nucleotide long non-coding RNA. RefSeq lists it as uncharacterized. The transcript is spliced from 2 exons. Lineage: Eukaryota; Metazoa; Chordata; Mammalia; Rodentia; Muridae. The record is from RefSeq and is a predicted model, not a curated record.